CGUAGUGGAUGCAGCGCCGGACGCCACAGCCGAAAAACAGAAUCUUGGAACUGGUUUAGUACAAUCCAGGUCGAGUUCCUUGUUUUUUAUCCGAGUGGCCGGCAGGCCCAUGUGCUCGCUUGUUUUUAACACAUCAGCUCUUGCCGGAAGCCGCUCAGAGAUAAAAUAGGAAGUCCCACCCUUCCCGUAGAGAAGGAAAACGGAGAGCCGAAGGAGUCAAUCUAAAUUCGAUGAGCGCGUCGGGCUCUAAGGCAGGCGCUGUCAGCCCGGGAGGGGCUCUGGGAUUUCUAGAGGGUCCCAGAACGGGUUCUUCCCGGGCCGAUCCCGCCUGCUUCCUGCCCCAUCUCUCCACCCGCCUCCCGCCCUCUGUGAGGGACCCCGAGGGCGGCGCCGGAAACACGGAGAAGGCCCAGAACGGCGCGGGACCCGAGAGGCCUAUGUUGGCAAACGCAGCCCGCUGCCCCUCUGCUCGCUUCUCCGGGGCCUGGAGUGGCUCCUGUCGCUUCUGGCGCUCCGAUUUGGAGAAAUGACUUUCAGCUGUGCAAGGCGAGAAUGCUACUUUAGAUGAUGAGAAAAAUCUCUCGAAUGGCUCCCAAAAUGAGCUCCUUGUUUCAGAGGCCACAGGAAGCCGCCAGCCGAACUCUGAUACCAAAGAGGAGGCCAAGAAGCGGAAUGUGGCUUGGUGACCUGUUUGGUAUUGCCAAACUUUCAGCUUUUAUUAAAGCUGAAACACCUUGGCUGUUUAAAACGUUCGACAAGGACUUUUUUGUGAACGUUAACGGCACAGCACACGGGCUUUUUUGGGAAAAAAAAAAAAAGGCAGGACUUCAGGAUGUGGUGGUUAACAGCCCCUACGCCCCCUUGUGCAGGUCCAUUCAUGAACCUCGAGUUAGAGGCCUUUCUUCUGAAACUCAGAAUCUAGUAGGGAGGACCUGUGUAGACGAAUAAAUACAUCACAGCUUGUUAAGCGCUGCUGUGACAAAGACGCAGUGAAAUCCUGCUUGAGGUCAUCUGCCUUGCUAAAGAGUUUUGACUAUGUUGUAGGCACAGGGUUAGGGUUAGACUCUGUAAUGGGAAGUUAUGUGAUCAGAUUUCUAUUUAGGAAGAUCAUUGGCCAGGCGGGGUGGCUCACGCCUGUAAUCCCAAUACCUUGAGAGGCCGAGUCGGUGGAUUGCUUGCGGCUAGGAUUUUGAGACCAGCCUGGCCAACAUGGUGAAACCCCGUCUCUACUAAAAAUUUAAAAAUUAGCCGGGCAUGGUGGUGCAAGCCUGUAAUUCCAGCUACUUGGAGGCUGAGGCGGGAGAACAGCUUGAACCCAGUGGCGGAGGCUGCAGUGAGCCGAGAUUGCGCCACUGCACUCCAGCCUGGGCAACAGAGCGAGAUUCCAUCUCAAAAAAAUCCUUUUAAGUAAUUGGAUUUUUUUUUUUUUGUAAUGUUUUGUAAUGUUUUUUGUAAUCAUCACUCAAGGCCAAUUCCAACACAAUUCAGUUUAAAUCAUAAUACAUUCAAGUGGUAAUUCCUUACUUUUUUAAAUAGUUCAUAGAAAACUUUUCGUAGACAUUAUCUGGUUUAAUUCUGAUUGUAAUCCACAUGAAUUCUCUUAUCCACAGUAAGGAACAGUAAUUUAGAAGACUAAUAAACUGUUCCAAGAUCACACAGCUAGUAAAAGUAGAACUCAACCUUAAACUCCAGAGUCAAGCUUUUCUAUCUAUCAUGUAGACUCAGUUUAAUAGUAAAUAGUUAAUUUAAAAUUCUAGAGAAAAAUGUGGAAAACAAUUUCCUCACAACGAGUGACCAGCUGCAAAUGUUAUUUUUAUUCCAUUAACCAACAUUUAUUGAGUGACUGUUAUAUAAAAGAUAAAACUGGGUUCUGCCUUCAAAGAGUUCACUUGAAAUUUAAAAUUUAUUUGAAAAUUUAGUACUUCCUACAGUGUUUUAAUAGCUAUUUCAACAGCGUUGGUCUUGUAUGACAAGGUGAUAAAUUUCUUGACAGUGACAAUAGCACAAUUCUGUAUAUGGAUUGGGCAUUCUGUGAUCUUUGGGUGAUUUAUCUUGCUACCUUUCUUACCUUGGGGGUUUAGUUAAUAUUUAUGUUCCUCCCCUGAGCAGUGAAGUAAAAUCUAAGUUUAUGUUUCAGUUCUAUUUUAAGUUGAGUAUUUUGAGUUACUAAGACAGGACCUUAAGGAAGUCAGUUUGACCUCAUUUCCAACUGAGAGAUUCCAUGGAUCUCAUUCAAGACUAAUUUUCUGAUUCUAAGGAAAAAGGGA
RNA transcript from Nomascus leucogenys (northern white-cheeked gibbon), 2267 nucleotides. RefSeq lists it as uncharacterized. NCBI's taxonomy places the organism in Eukaryota, Metazoa, Chordata, Mammalia, Primates, Hylobatidae. The transcript has a single exon. The record is from RefSeq and is a predicted model, not a curated record.